GGGCCCGUAGCUUAGUCAGGUAGAGCAUCGGGCUUUUAACCCGAGGGUCAGGUCAAACCCCCAAACGGGUUCGAUUCCCGUCGGGCCCG
This 89-nucleotide transfer RNA is filed under the name Nitrososphaerota archaeon. Its description in RNAcentral is "Thaumarchaeota archaeon tRNA-Lys". It matches the Rfam family "tRNA". From Rfam's summary of the family: Transfer RNA (tRNA) molecules are approximately 80 nucleotides in length. Their secondary structure includes four short double-helical elements and three loops (D, anti-codon, and T loops). Further hydrogen bonds mediate the characteristic L-shaped molecular structure. tRNAs have two regions of fundamental functional importance: the anti-codon, which is responsible for specific mRNA codon recognition, and the 3' end, to which the tRNAs corresponding amino acid is attached (by aminoacyl-tRNA synthetases). tRNAs cope with the degeneracy of the genetic code in two manners: having more than one tRNA (with a specific anti-codon) for a particular amino acid; and 'wobble' base-pairing, i.e. permitting non-standard base-pairing at the 3rd anti-codon position. Lineage: Archaea; Thermoproteati; Nitrososphaerota. The record is from RNAcentral.